UACGUAGGGUGCGAGCGUUAAUCGGAAUUACUGGGCGUAAAGCGUGCGCAGGCGGUGAUGUAAGACAGGUGUGAAAUCCCCGGGCUUAACCUGGGAACUGCAUUUGUGACUGCAUCGCUGGAGUGCGGCAGAGGGGGAUGGAAUUCCGCGUGUAGCAGUGAAAUGCGUAGAUAUGCAGAGGAACACCGAUGGCGAAGGCAAUCCCCUGGGCCUGCACUGACGCUCAUGCACGAAAGCGUGGGGAGCAAACAGG
Molecule: ribosomal RNA, 253 nt
Filed under: uncultured bacterium
Lineage: Bacteria
Description: partial 16S ribosomal RNA
Rfam family: Bacterial small subunit ribosomal RNA
Source: RNAcentral